RNAcentral lists this ribosomal RNA (373 nucleotides) under uncultured bacterium. RNAcentral's name for it is "bacterial SSU rRNA". It matches the Rfam family "Bacterial small subunit ribosomal RNA", at positions 509 to 881 of the family's 1533-position model. The record is from RNAcentral.
CAGCAGCCGCGGUAAUACGUAGGUCACAAGCGUUGUCCGGAAUUACUGGGUGUAAAGGGAGCGCAGGCGGGAGAACAAGUUGGAAGUGAAAUCCAUGGGCUCAACCCAUGAACUGCUUUCAAAACUGUUUUUCUUGAGUAGUGCAGAGGUAGGCGGAAUUCCCGGUGUAGCGGUGGAAUGCGUAGAUAUCGGGAGGAACACCAGUGGCGAAGGCGGCCUACUGGGCACCAACUGACGCUGAGACUCGAAAGUGUGGGUAGCAAACAGGAUUAGAUACCCUGGUAGUCCACACCGUAAACGAUGAUUACUAGGUGUUGGAGGAUUGACCCCUUCAGUGCCGCAGUUAACACAAUAAGUAAUCCACCUGGGGAGU